RNAcentral lists this transfer RNA (73 nucleotides) under Actinomyces sp. Its description in RNAcentral is "tRNA-Glu". It matches the Rfam family "tRNA". From Rfam's summary of the family: Transfer RNA (tRNA) molecules are approximately 80 nucleotides in length. Their secondary structure includes four short double-helical elements and three loops (D, anti-codon, and T loops). The record is from RNAcentral. Lineage: Bacteria; Bacillati; Actinomycetota; Actinomycetes; Actinomycetales; Actinomycetaceae. RNAcentral also lists the same sequence under 4 other names.
GCCCCUAUCGUCUAGUGGUCUAGGACGGCGCCCUUUCACGGCGCUAACACCGGUUCGAAUCCGGUUGGGGGUA